UUCAAACAUCCUUUUUUCUUAUCCAACUAUUACUCACCUUGGAGUUAUUUCUCUUCUCCUGCUUGUACUUAUCCAUGUACUGCUCCUUCAAUACAUUAUGGUUCACUUGAAUCCUCACCAUCUCAAUCCUUUCUCAUAUUUCAAUUCAUUCUCCUCAUUCAUGUCUUCAACUUCUCUUUCAUCUUCUUCAUCUACAUGUAAUCCAUCUUAUUCCACAUUCCAAAAUUUUAAAAAUGCUCAAUUUCAUUAGUCAAAAAUUUCUUCUAUCUCCACUUCACCUCCUUCAAAAUUAAUAUCUUCAAUCCAACAAAAAUUCACCUUGAAGUUUUUCCUUUUCUCCUCCUACAGCUCAUCCUUAUACUGCACCUUCAAUUCUUCAUGUUUUCCUCCUUUCCCCCUUCAUCACAUUCAAACACCACUUUCUACUUAUCCAUGUACUACUCCUUCAAUACAUUAUGGUUGAUUUGAAUCCUCACAAUCUCCUACUCAUUCCCAUGUUUCACUUCUUUCUCUUCAUUCACCUUCACCGGCUUCUCUUUCUCUUUCUCCAUCCCAAUAAUCCAUCUCUUCAACCACUUUCUAAAUCUGUAGAGAAGUUAAAUUCCACGAGUCCAAAUUUUCGUCUUACACCACCUCACCUCCUUCAAACAUCCUUUUUACUUAGCCAACUAUUACUCACCUUGGAGUUAUUUCUCUUCUCCUCCUAGUACUUAUCCAUGUACUGCUCCUUCUAUACAUUAUGGUUCAUUUGAAUCAUCACCAUCUCCUACUCUUUCCCAUGUUUCACUUACUUCUUCUCAUUCACCUCACCAACUUCUCUUUCAUCUUCUUCCUAUCCAAGUAAUCCAUCUUAUUCCACUUUCCCAAUUUUAAAGUUGCUCAAUUUCAUUAGUCUAAAAUUCCAUCUAUCUCCACUUCACCUCCUUCAAAAUUAAUAUCUACUAUCCAACUAAUAUUCAACUUGAAAAUAUUCUUCUUCACCUCUUACAGUUCAUCCCUAUACUGCUCCUUCAAUUCUUAAAUGUUUCAAUUAAAUCCUCACAAUCUCCUACUUCUUCCAAUGUUUCACUUUCAUCUCCUCAUUCACCUUCACCAAUUUCUUUUUCUACUUCUUCCUCCCUAACAAAUCCAUAUUAUUCCACUUUCAAAUUCUCUACAGAUAUUCUUCUUCAGCAAUCCAAAUUAACUACUUUCUCCACUUCACGUCCUUAAAAAAUAACUACUUAAACAAUUAAUAUUCACUUUCAAUAUUUUCCUCUAACCGUCCUACUGCUCAUCUUUUUACUGCCCUCCCAAUUCUUAAUGGUUCACUUCAAUCCUCACCAUCUCUAACUUUUUCCCAUGUUUCACUUCCUUCUCUUCAUUCAUCUUUACCAGCUUCUCUUUCUUCUUCUCCAUCCCCAUCUAUUUCAUCCCUUAUACCACUAUCUAAAUCUAUAGAGAAGUUAAAUUCCAAGAGUCCACAUUUUCUUCUUUCACCACUUCACCACAUUCAAACAUCCAUUUUUCUUAUCCAACUAUUACUCACCUUGGAGUUAUUUCUCUUUUCCUGCUACUACGUAUCCAUGUACUGCUCCUUCAAUACAUUAUGGUUCAUUUGAAUCCUCACCAUCUCCUACUCUUUCCCAUGUUUCACUUCCAACUCCUCAUUCACCUCACCAUCUUCUCUUUCAUCUUGUUGCUUUCCAUGUAAUCCAUAUUAUUCCACUUUCCCAAAUUUUAAAGAUGCUUAAUUUCAUUAAUCCAAAAUUUCUUCUAUCUCCACUUCACCUCCUUCAAAAUUAAUAUCUUCCAUCCAACUAAUAUUCACCUUGAAGUUAUUCCUUUUCUCCUCCUACAGCUCAUCCUUAUACUGCUCCUUCAAUUCUUAAUGUUUCAAUUGAAUACUCACCAUCUCCUACUAUUUCCUAUGUUUCACUUUCAUCUCCCCAUUCACCUUCACCAACUUCUCUUUCUUCUUCUUCCUCCCUAACUAAUCCAUCUUAAUCCACUUUCAAAGUCUCUACAGAUAUUCUUUUUCAGAAAUCCAAAUUAACUACUUUCUCCACUUCACGUCCUUAAAAAACAAACUUCUUUACCAAUUAUUAUUCACCUUCAAGAUAUUCCACUAACCCUUCCACUGUUCAUCUUUUUACUGCUCCCACAAUUCAUAAUGGUUCACUUGAAUCCACGCUAUCUCUAACUUUUUCCCAAGUUUCACUUCCUUCUCUUCAUUUACGUUCACCAGCUUCUCUUUCUUUUUCUCCAUCCCCAUCUAAUCCAUCUCGUCUACCACUUCCUAAAUUUGUAGAGAAGUUCACUUCAAAGAGUCCAAAUUUCCUUCUUUCACGACUUCACCUCAUUCAAACAUCUCUUUUUCUUAUCCAACUAUUACUCACCUUCGAGUUAUUUCUCUUCUCCUGCUAGUACUUAUCCAUGUACUGCUCCUACAAUACAUUAUGGUUCAUUUGAAUCCUCACCAUCGCCCACUCUUUCCCAUCUUUCACUUCUUUCUCCUCAUUCACCUCACCAACUUCUCUUUCAUCUUCUUCCUUUCCAUUAACUCCA
This 2547-nucleotide long non-coding RNA is filed under the name Lotus japonicus. RNAcentral's name for it is "long non-coding RNA (LJAP_LNC001151)". The record is from RNAcentral. Lineage: Eukaryota; Viridiplantae; Streptophyta; Magnoliopsida; Fabales; Fabaceae.